UGGGGAAUUUUGGACAAUGGGCGAAAGCCUGAUCCAGCAAUGCCGCGUGUGUGAAGAAGGCCUUCGGGUUGUAAAGCACUUUUGUCCGGAAAGAAAUCCUCUGGGUUAAUACCUCGGGGGGAUGACGGUACCGGAAGAAUAAGCACCGGCUAACUACGUGCCAGCAGCCGCGAUAAUACGUAGGGUGCAAGCGUUAAUCGGAAUUACUGGGCGUAAAGCGUGCGCAGGCGGUUUUGUAAGACGGAUGUGAAAUCCCCGGGCUUAACCUGGGAACUGCAUUCGUGACUGCAAGGCUAGAGUAUGGCAGAGGGGGGUAGAAUUCCACGUGUAGCAGUGAAAUGCGUAGAGAUGUGGAGGAAUACCGAUGGCGAAGGCAGCCCCCUGGGCCAAUACUGACGCUCAUGCACGAAAGCGUGGGGAGCAAACAGGAUUAGAUACCCUGGUAGUCCACGCCCUAAAACGAUGUCAACUAGUUGUUGGGGAUUCAUUUCCUUAGUAACGUAGCUAACGCGUGAAGUUGACCGCCUGGGGAGUACGGUCGCAAGAUUAAAACUCAAAUGAAUUGACGGGGUCAUAGCUGUUUCC
This 585-nucleotide ribosomal RNA is filed under the name uncultured bacterium. RNAcentral describes it as "partial 16S ribosomal RNA". It matches the Rfam family "Bacterial small subunit ribosomal RNA", at positions 355 to 937 of the family's 1533-position model. The record is from RNAcentral.